AGAGUUUGAUCCUGGCUCAGAAUGAACGCUGGCGGCACGCCUAACACAUGCAAGUCGAACGAGACCUUCGGGUCUAGUGGCGCACGGGUGCGUAACGCGUGGGAAUCUGCCCUUCGGUUCGGAAUAACAGUUAGAAAUGACUGCUAAUACCGGAUAAUGACGUAAGUCCAAAGAUUUAUCGCCGAAGGAUGAGCCCGCGUAGGAUUAGCUAGUUGGUAAGGUAAAAGCUUACCAAGGCGACGAUCCUUAGCUGGUCUGAGAGGAUGAUCAGCCACACUGGGACUGAGACACGGCCCAGACUCCUACGGGAGGCAGCAGUGGGGAAUAUUGGACAAUGGGCGAAAGCCUGAUCCAGCAAUGCCGCGUGAGUGAUGAAGGCCUUAGGGUUGUAAAGCUCUUUUACCAGGGAUGAUAAUGACAGUACCUGGAGAAUAAGCUCCGGCUAACUCCGUGCCAGCAGCCGCGGUAAUACGGAGGGAGCUAGCGUUAUUCGGAAUUACUGGGCGUAAAGCGUACGUAGGCGGUUAUUCAAGUCAGAGGUGAAAGCCCGGGGCUCAACCCCGGAACUGCCUUUGAAACUAGGUAGCUAGAAUCUUGGAGAGGUCAGUGGAAUUCCGAGUGUAGAGGUGAAAUUCGUAGAUAUUCGGAAGAACACUAGUGGCGAAGGCGACUGACUGGACAAGUAUUGACGCUGAGGUACGAAAGCGUGGGGAGCAAACAGGAUUAGAUACUCCUGGUAGUCCACGCCGUAAACGAUGAUAACUAGCUGUCCGGGCACUUGGUGCCUGGGUGGCGCAGCUAACGCAUUAAGUUAUCCGCCUGGGGGAGUACGGUCGCAAGAUUAAAACUCAAAGGAAUUG
This 860-nucleotide ribosomal RNA is filed under the name uncultured bacterium. RNAcentral's name for it is "bacterial SSU rRNA". It matches the Rfam family "Bacterial small subunit ribosomal RNA", at positions 8 to 912 of the family's 1533-position model. The record is from RNAcentral.